UACAUAGGCCUUCUAGUAUCUUGGUUUGGAAUUGGGGCAAGGAGUGGAGGGGCCUGGCACCUGAUGGUUUGACCUUCAUAGCAGGGAAUCUCAGCUGAAGCUAAAUAAAAUGGUUCUACUUUAUCACGGGGUUACAAUUAAGAAACAUCUAGCUAGUGCUCAUUUUAUGCGAGGCUCUGUUCUAGGUGCUGGAGAUUCAAAAUGAAGACGAGGUCACCUGUCUUGAGGAGCUCACAGUGUAGGGAACAUUGCCCUCUUCGCCACACUUUGUGUUCGAGUUUUAGGUGGUCUUUAUUCUCCAAAGCACCUGAGUAUUUCGUGGGCUGUGAGGUGGGAAAGGGACAAGCACAAGUGUGGGGAGAUCAAGGGGGUGUGUUUCUAUAAGGCUGGACCUGCCACAUAGAGUUUCUCAUCCCCCACGAGAAAUGCCAAAAUCAGGAGGUGAGAAGAGCCAAGAGUUGGAAGUCAGGGUCCAGGAAGCCUCAAAGGACAUCUACUGGGUUGCAGAAGAGUAGGGACCAGAGACCAGUAUCAAGGCUGGGUUCUAAGAACUACAGGAAAAUUGAACAAAAAUACCCAGUUGAGAGUAAAUGGGCAAAGAUCAAGAGAAGUUGCCUAGAUGAGGCCACUAUGGCUUGCCUUCACUUGUUGGAAAAAGCAUGGUACCAGAGUGGGUCGGCAAAGUUAAGGGCCAGCUAUGACCACGGGGCUGAGUGCCGCAGGAGGAACUCUGUAUAGGUCGGGAAGAGCUCUUGAGCCCAGGUGGUUGUUGCCUGAAGCCUAUAGAGAGAGGUCACGGGCUGAGCACCCCAAUAGGGAAGCAGCUUAAGAAGAUGCCGAAGCUCAAAUCCUACUGGUGAGAUUCCUGCUUUCCUCUUGGGUUACUUUAAUUAAAUUCUGUCCUUUCUUCAGAGCUCACCUAAGUCAUAUCUUUUCUAGAGCCUCACUGAGAUGUCUGUUUCCUCUGAAUUUUAAGAGGAGUUAGGAAAUUAGCAACAUGUUGCUCUGCAUUGUCAAUUCAUCUUUGUAGACACACCCUAUCCUUUGACUUAGUGAAGCACAGGACCCAAAAUAGCCUGCUUGGCGCCUGUCCUACAGCCCUGCAGCUAUACCCAUGUCACUCACACUGGCAGGUUAAGCUCUGCCAUGGCCUGGGACACCAAUUCUCAUAUUGAUGGCCUUACCACAGACAUUUACCUUGUGUCAUUUUUGCUGCUGGUGACUUUUGUGUCCCAAGCCCCCAGUGCCUUGCUGACUCCUCAUAUUUUUGCCUCAUAUAUCAGUCUUUCAGAGGGCUGAGGUCAUGCUAAAAUAAUAGCUGAAGCAUAAGGCACAUGUAACUGGUAUAUGAGGAAAAAUGACCCAUGUAAUCAGACAUUUCUGGGAGGAAGAGGCUCCUUCCUCCCCUGACCGGGGAUGCUAUAGUAGAAGGAACUCUGGGGGAGGAAGGCUGUGGAGCUUUCUGGUAAAGGAGGCAGGGGGGUGAGCUGAGCCAGGGAAGGUCUGGGUUGCUUCUCACUCAUCCUCUCCAUCACCUACCACCUGUAGCUCUUUAUUUUCUUGUCAUAGGGUAAUAAAAUGAGUUUGCAAAUCUUUCACUAUCAUAAACUAUAGAGAACAAAAACAGAAAACACUCCAUUAACUCAAUUGGAAAUUAAUCAUUCUCUGAUAUCCAAACCAUAUGUUCACAUUUCAGUACUUAUAGAUGUAUAAAUAAAAAUUAAAAAUUUAUGUCCCUUAAAUCUAUAUUAUAUAGUCCUAUAGUCUAAUAAUCAUGUCAAUGGCAAUUAAAAUCCAUUUUCUAUAUUAUACCCAUUUUGUUUAAUGCUUAGGAAGCAAGACUGUCCUGUGACUUUGAUCUAAAUAUCUUCACAAGUCUGGAAGUAAUUACAAUAUUUUUUUAGCGUUCUACUGUUAAAAGUCUGAUUUAUUUUCUAGUCUUAUUUAUUUUUUAUUUAUUUUUUUCUUUUUUUUAAGUUUACAUUUUACUUUGUUAAUAUAUAGUGCAAUAUUGGUUUCAGGAGUAGAAUUCAGUGCCCUAAAAAAAUUUUUUUUAAUGUUUAUUUAUUUUUGAGGAGGAGGGGAAAAGAGAGAAAGGGGACAGAGGAUCCCACAUGGGCUCUGGUUGACAGCAGAGACCCAGAUGCAGGGCUCAAAUUCAGGAACCGCGAGAUCAUGACCUCAGCUGAAGUCAGACACACAAUCCACUGAGCCACCCAGGUGUCCCUACCAUCUUAUCUAAAAAGAUCACCUUCUAGUGUUAUCUAAAAAGAUCAACUGGUUAAACAAAAACAAGAGUGACCCACUCUGGGACAAGAAUACUAGUCAUUAUUCUUUGGUACAAGGUGUGGAGGUCCCUUCAGGCAGCAGAUAUGUCAUGCCGUGAAUGGAACCUAUAAAAUCUAGAACCGAAGGAAUGAUGUUCCAGGCUGGAAAAGGUAAAACACUCUGAAAAAUCAAUGAAAAGCAUGUCUGAGUGCUUCACCUAUGAACUGCUCUUUAUAAACUAUUGUUAACAAAUUCAAGAGAAAAAGAAGACUUAAUCCCCAUGUUUGAUAAUUUUAUAAAAGGUAGGAGAAUUGCCGAGUGUAAGUUCACGUCCAAAAUCAGAACCAAAAAGCAUUCCCUAGGUUGCUUUGCCCUCCAUCACCACCAGAAUGACCGACAGGGAUUACUGCUGCAAGAUUUGUUCUACCAGCAGCUCUGGGUUUUGACAGAGAUUGAGUUUGGCUAUCCUGUGUCCUUGUCCACUUGCCUUAGUAUGUUAGAACAAGUCGAGGAUUCCAAGGGCACCAGUUCUAUGCUUUUUUGCAGCUCAGGCCUUGUUCUAUUCUACAACGACAGAUGGCACUUGUGUAUCCAGCCAUUUCAUAAAUUCACAUCAUUUGUCACAAAGCAGAAACAAGAGGAUAAAGACGGAUCAAUGCAAAUCAGCAUUAUUGGAAAUAUAACUCAAGAACACAUUUGCUCAUGCCAAGAAUGCUGUGCUCAAGUAUGAGGAGGGUGUUGUUUUUCCUGGCCCAAGAAGAGAGAUUUUCUGGUUUAGCCCCUUUAGAGAAUAACCCAGGCUAAACCAGACAGCUUUAGCUUGGUGAACAUCAUGCUGGACGGAAAUCCCGUCUAUCACCACAAUGCAAGAAUUCUUUUCAUCUUGUAUACUGGCCCAGGAAGAAAACAGUUGCAUAUGUAUCACUGAAAAGCUGUGCCCCUUUUAUACCUGUAGAGGAGUAUAUAUGGUAUUUUCAGGUGCAGUUUCACAAGUCUAGUCACUGUUUCUGUAUUUCUUUUCCAUGACAUAUUAAUUUUGUCCGGAAGCACUUGAAUUCUCUUAAUCACUCAGCAGGUUACCUUCUAAGGGUGUGUGUUUGUGUUUAUGGCCAGAAAAAGCAGAUUUUUACCCCUCUCAAUGACUAGAACACAUCACAGUCCGGGUUACAGUAAAAAUACAAGAAAAUGUCCCUGACUUAGGAAGAAUGUAUUACUUUAUUCUAUUUUAAGGCAAAUGGCUGUUAUCUUACGAAAUGGAAAGCAAUUAGAUAUAUUUGAACAUUGUUAUUACUUGCUUUAGGUAAGGAAUGCCAGAUCAAACAACUUUUACCAUUGGCAAAACAAAAACCACAACUAUAAAGUCUUCAAAAUGAGCGGGUCAGAUGUCACCAGUUUUGCCUUUCAACAUUCACUGCAUUUACCAAAGUCUUCGCUCUUUGAAAGGUGUGCAAUUUAUGUUUAAAUCAGAUUGAAUGUUUUGUUUUGUUUUGUUUUGUUUGCUACUCAGAACAUCACUGUACAUCAAUGUUGCAAAAGCAGUGUCCUUAUAGCAAGGUAAGUGUGCAGAGUACAUGCAGGAUUGAUUUAGAGGCCAAGCGCACCCCCACAUUACUUUAACACAUAAUUCAGAAACAUUUCUUACAAAUAUUAACAUGUGUAGGAAGUUAUUAUGGGUGGGGAAGAAUUAUUUACAAAUAACUCUUAGCUGGACUUCACAAAUUAUGGAACAGGGAGUGUUUUGGUAAAGAUGCCCAGGACAGCUCAGGAAAUCAGCUGGAUGGACAGACCACAUGUUCUCAAUUUGGGGUCAGUGUUUGCUUAUCACUCAUCAUGAACAUCUCCAACCUGAAUUGAGUUAGAAGUUGUAGGAACCCCUCAGUGGAAACUUAGAGCAGCAUUCAUCCACUAUGUGUGGGGAGCCUCUUGGCAGGAUGCUAGAGAAAAAUCCUCAAACACCCUAUGAUAUUCUGGAAAGAACCCAGCCAACUGUAAAGUGACUGUCUUCUGAAAAGCCUUUAUUGUGUAAUAUCCUAGAGUAUUGCUGUUGUAAGAGGCCUUAGUUGCACUGCUCCACUAGACAGUUUUUCAGGAUAGGCCAGUUCUGGCAUCAUGUGGACGAGCCCAUAUAAACUUGAUUCUGUUGUAGGAAUUCUUUCCUCAAGUAUUUUGCUUUACAUGUAGAGGGAAAAAAAACACAGAAACUGAGUUUCUCAUGAUUAUAUAGACAUCCCUAUAAAGCACUAGUCUAAUUCACACUUUAUUAAUCAGAAAAUUAAAAUGCAGAGAGGCCCCAAACACCCUGUGAUAUGCUUUGCUUCUUCACUCUUGUUUUUCCUUAAGCCAAGUUGUGUUUGACUAUGCAUUCUUUGCUCAGUGUUCAUGCCCAGUGGCUCCAAGCCAAGCAGGUUGGAGGUAUGGCUGGGAAAUCAUUACACAGAUUGAAGAGGCUCCUAUCGCCUUCGGAUGUGAAGGAUGCUGUGCUCAUCUGGCCAUGCCAUCAUGUUUGGUCUGACGUGGUGGAAUGAAGGAUUUAGGAGGUGGUUACAGGCUGAGUAUCAGAAAAUUGACUGAAGACAACUCCCUUGAUUGUUGUUGACUCUCCUUUGAGGAGGAGGGAUGCUGUUCCUCAACCAAUUUUGCAGUCACCCUCAGAGCCAACCUUAAAAGAAUUCCCACUGACAAAAAUUGACAAAAGGAGGAUGAUGGCUGUGGAUGCUUAAAAUACAAGGAGGACACCUGGGUGGUUCACUCAGGUAAGCGUCUCACUCUUGAUUUUGGCUCAGGUCAUGAUCUCAUGGUUCGUGAUCUCAAACCCCUUGUGGGCUCCAGGCUGACAGUGUGGAGCCUGCUUGGGAUUCUCUCUCUUUCUCUCUCUCCCUCUCUUUCUUUCCCUCUCCACCGCUCAUGCUCUCUCUCUGUCUUUCUUGCUCUCAAAAUAAGUAAAUAAAAACUUAAAAAAAUAAAAUGAAAAAAUACAAUGAAUAUAUAAAAAGACAUUACUCCAUAAUUACAUGCAUGUGCACACACUCACAUCAAAGACCAGAAUUUAAUUUUAUUUUCUUAAACAUCUUUUCUGUGGGUAGUAACUGUUCUGAAACAGUUUUUGAUUCUGAAGUGCUAUUAUUGCACUUUUAGGAUCUCAGGUUUUAUUGGUUUUGAAUUACUAAUUAAAAAUAUAUUUUUGUAAUAUUUUCUAAGCAAAACUUGGAUGGCAUUUUAAAAACCCAAAUUGUGUAGGCUUGUCUUGAGAAUGCCUUGAGAAUGUACCUUGCAGACUUCCAACUACAGGGACAUUAACUGACCAUUAGUUAUGGUCACAUCCACCUGUCACAUUCAGAAAUGCAUUGCUUC
This is a long non-coding RNA of Acinonyx jubatus (cheetah), 5619 nucleotides long. RefSeq lists it as uncharacterized. NCBI's taxonomy places the organism in Eukaryota, Metazoa, Chordata, Mammalia, Carnivora, Felidae. The record is from RefSeq and is a predicted model, not a curated record. The transcript has 3 exons.